This is an RNA transcript of Camelus dromedarius (Arabian camel), 1948 nucleotides long. RefSeq lists it as uncharacterized. NCBI's taxonomy places the organism in Eukaryota, Metazoa, Chordata, Mammalia, Artiodactyla, Camelidae. The transcript has 2 exons. The record is from RefSeq and is a predicted model, not a curated record.
UUAACGAUGGGGGCAGUGCUCUCUCAUGCCCGUCCUAGGCCAUCCAAGGAGACCAUGUUGGCCUGGGCCCUCCCCACUCCAGCCCUGCCUCCAGUAGUCAGAGCACUUCCUGAACUUGGGGCUUUAGGGGUCAAGUUUAUUUAAUGUAAAUAACAUAGUGUGGCUAAUUUGUUUUGCCAAGUAAAAACCAAAAGUAACUGCUGGUCACUACUAUUUUAUAAAAGAAAGGAUAUUUUUACAGCAAAAAUACUAGGAAGGAUAUAAUCUCAUUUGCUGUUCUAAUGAUAAAACUGGAUGGCAUAAGUUCUUUCUUGGGAUGACGAGUUUCUAACUUAAAUGUGCCUCAGUUUUCCCAUCUCACAAAUGGAUCACCGCCACACUCAGAGCGAUGCUGUGAGGAUUAACUGAAUUCGUAUUUGCAAAGGGCCCCUGGUGCCCCAGCACAGCCUCUUUGUCUGGCCCUUCCUGGGCACAGGCUCCCCUGGUCUGACGCUCACCUCUUCUCUCCCUCCCUCUGCAGGUGUUUGGGGGUCUCGUGUGGAUCCUGAUCUCUUCCUCUCUGGUGCCCAUCCCCCUGGUCCAGGGCUGGGUGAUGUUCGUGUCUGUGUUCUGCUUCGUAACCACCACUCUCCUGCUCUUUCUCUAUGUGAUCGGUGCACACGGCAGUGGGACUUUCUGGAUCACCCUGGACGCAGCUUACCACUGUGUGGCCUCCCUGUUUUACUUCGGUGCCUCCGUCCUGGAAGCUUUUGCCACCAUCCAGAUGCAAGACGGCUUCAGGUACAAACAGUACCAUGAAAACAUCUCUGCCGUGGUGAGUCCACAGUCAACCUGCCAUGUUCACGGCUCCCACCACCCAUUGACAGACAGGCUGAGCCAAAGGCUGCCCAGGCCCUCCCUGUUUUUUAAUACUUCACUGAUGUUUGAAUAAAGUACACCUUCCCCCUCAUUUCUGAAGGAAAAAAGCCCCAGAGAAGGGAAACGAUGUGCCGCAGGUUCCCUGAGCCAUCGGUCAGUGCUGCACUGCCCAGGCCUGGGCUGGCUGGGGGUCCGUGCCUGGGUGGGCUUCGGGGAAGGCAGAUGUGUCGGGAGGCAUGACCACACACACCUGGCACUGUCUGAGCUCCCUGUGAACAAUCUUAUUUACCCAUCAGAGCAGCCCGAGGAUGGAGGUGCUGUUAUUAUACCCAUUUCACAGAUGGAGAAGCAGGGCUCAAAGAGCGUACACACCUUGUCUCAAGGUCACAAAGAAUUGGUGGGCCCUGCUGUCCAGGACCGGUGCUCUGUCACCACACUCCUAGCACCAGUUUGAGCAGAGAGUAUGGCAACUUGGGUUCCCAGCUCUCCCCAGUCUUCCAAGAAAGCGUACAGUCAGGGCCACAGGAGUGCUGAGCCCAAGGACAGAAAGUUGAGUGGCCAGUGUCUCCCAGGCGCUCACUCUGAGGGUGGGGCUGUGGGGAGGCCCUUCCAGGUGCAACGUGUCCAGACCCCCAGUUGUGGGGAUUUGCUGUUGGGAUCAGGCUGUCCUCUUUCCUGUCAUUGCCCAACGCUGUCUCCUGCCUGACAGGAGGAGGGGCUGGAGCUCACUCACCCAUUCCUUGUGCAAGUCCCUUGUGCCCUCUGAGCCUUGGCUUACUCAUCUAUAAAAUAGGGUGGUGACUCCUGUUGUUUCCCUGGAGGACUAGAGAGCUAGUAAACCACUUCCCCCGCAGGCUUCCCAGUGAGCAGUGGGUGGAACAGGGGCUGAGCCUCCUCCACUCCAUCAGUAGAGCAGGUGGGGGUGAGGCUGUGUGUGACUGGGGGCACCUUGCCUGCCGGUCUCUGAGCUCUGAUGUCCUCCAACUGCAGGGCCAGAUCCAUUAGUGAGCUGUGAGGUCACGGCCUAAUUUUCUUCUUGACGAAAUGGACCAGAAUAACAGAGAAUAAGAGAAUGUGUUGUUUCAUAGAA